GGAUUGCUCACGUUACUUCAGCCAAUCAGAGAACUGUGCAUGAGUGGAUUGCUUAUCAUGUAGCCCCCCUCCCUCACCAGGCCUUUCAAAAUACUUUGCUGAAACCUUCUGGGGAGUUGGGGGUUUGGGGGGCAAGAAAGAAAGUGAAGUCGCUCAGUGGUGUCCGACUCUUUGCGACCCCGUGGACUGUAGCCUACCAGGCUUCUCCAUCCAUAGGAUUCUCCAGGCAAGAAUACUGGAGUGGGUUACUGUUUCCUUCUCCAGAGGAUCUUCCUGACCCAAGGAUUGAACCCAGGUCUCCUGCAUUGGAGGCAGACACUUUAACCACUGAGCCACCAGGGAGCGACCCAUUUUCCUUGCAUGGCCUGCAGUAAGCCUUUCUCUGUUCCAAACACCAACAUUUCAGUACUGUUUGGCCUCACUGUGCCAUCAGGCACAAGGACUUGGCCUUUGGGAACAAGAGAAACAGAGGCCUGAGCCCCUUUCCAGAAGAUUUCCCAGCUGAGCUGAUUGGCUGUGGCAUUAGUCCAGGUAACCAAGUACCCUUUCCACGCAGAAGCAGCAGACCCAGAGUCAUAGCCAAGCACAAGCACAUACGUCUUUCACAGAGCACUGCGCUCUCUCAGGGCCGAGUCUCACCUUGGAGGUUGAUGAUGCUCCGAAGUCACGGGGAGCUGGAGCCCAUCUCCACCGACAGCCGUCUGGCUUUUGGAUUCCAGUCACAUUCUUCACCAGCCGAAGGGAGUGCUCAAGAUAGGGCAGAGGCAUUUGAAUCAAGACCUGACUCCUGUGUUUUCCACUUUUUGCUACCUCAUCUCUUCCCUGAGAGAUAUGUAGCCUCACUUGUCUGGCAUCUUAUCCAAGAAGACUUCCUUUUCUCUGGUUCCCUGUGGAAUGCAUAUUAAGCCAUUGGAGAGAGAAGAGUGGACAAAUGUGAGGGCACGAUGGUUUUUGAGUGUCGGCCUUGGCGCGGCUGUCGAGAUCGAGAGAUACUGCAGUUUGUUCAUCGCGGGAAGGGUGUUUCCCAGGAUGGUUAAAGAGAAAAUUGCACUGAUGAAAGAAUAUAUUCAGUCAAAAUAAAAUAAUUCUCUGGAAAUGAAGAUUUCUCCCGUUGACCUGCAUUGUGUGUGUGUGUGUAUUUUUAAACAAAUUUUCAACUCUUUUUUAUUUUUAUUUUUUGUAACAACUGCCAGGAAAAAAAUUUAAACCUUGACUUUGAUGUUUUGAACUUUCCGAGUAAGUUGAUGUAUGUACAUCAUGAUUAAAGACCAAACACUGGCUAAUACCUACCUGGUAAAAACCGAUGGCAAAUUAAUUAAACAGAGUGCGUUUUAUUCUAUAUAAAA
Bos taurus (domestic cattle) is the source of this 1346-nucleotide long non-coding RNA. The record is from Ensembl. NCBI's taxonomy places the organism in Eukaryota, Metazoa, Chordata, Mammalia, Artiodactyla, Bovidae.